This is a long non-coding RNA of Bombus huntii, 700 nucleotides long. RefSeq lists it as uncharacterized. Lineage: Eukaryota; Metazoa; Arthropoda; Insecta; Hymenoptera; Apidae. The transcript has 2 exons. The record is from RefSeq and is a predicted model, not a curated record.
UUAUAUCUUACUCAGAAAAAUAAUGUUCAAAAUAACGUUCAAAGCAAUAAAUUCAAAAGUCACUUUAUGUUUUUAAAUAAAUUAUCAAGCCAAUCCUAGCGGCACUGCAAUGCUAGGCUGACUCACGACAGAGGUGGAGCAAGCACCAACCCUCCGUCAGAUUCCAAAAAUCAGUUUAAUAUUCUGACUUCCCAAUGGGAAGUGUAUCAGAUAUUAAGCUGAUAAGAACAGAUACUACACUUUGAUCUUAGCCAUAAGGCCGAGAAGCGAUACCAUUUCUGAUUUUCUUUCCGAAUAUAACAUCUGUAUCUCCUAAAUUUCCUAGCGAGAAAUGGUACUCUAAAGAAACCACCUAGCGGUGGGGUUUUCAACUACUUUUAUUUAUGUAUAGGGUGUAAGAUAAGCAUACGUCACGGUUCAUAAAACUGAUUCUGUCGUUGAUUUAAGAGAGAUUAUGUAAAUAAAGAUAUUGCAUAUCAUAAAUUUUUGGAAAUUUUAAGGGAAAGUCAAUUAUGUGGUAUUUUUAUCUAAUUAAUUUUCACCGAAUAAACUGGUAAUACGGAAAUAAUCUGAUAUUUUUCUUACAUUCUAUACACAAAGUAGAAUAGUUGGACACCCUAACCUAAUCCUAGCCAAACUCUAACCUCACCAUUAAGGGUAAUUGGAAAUUCAUAAAAUAUAUUUAAAAAGAAAAAAAUAA